UCUUUCUUCUCUCUCUAAAAACUCAUCUUCUAAAUAUUGCUCUGCAUUCUCUCUAAAAUACCACUCUGUUGAACCGUUCAAUUUUUGAAUAGGUGGUGCUCAAACGUUCACCGUGUCAAGGGCUCCGUAACUGACCGAACGAGUUCUUGUUCCAAUCGGGUGUCUUUGAAUUUUUCUGUGAGGAGCACUAUUUAGAUCAUCACUGUCAAGUAAACUGUGAAGUUUUCCAGGAGCAGAUGUGGUUGAAGAAAUACCUCUGGAGCAAGAGCUGGAGGAGAAUGAUGCUGCUGCACAGUCUGCGUAGGAUUUAGAUAUCUAAACUCUUGGAUGUUAAAUACUCAAAACUGUCUGAGUUUAAAACUCUAUAUUAUAUUUUGGAUGACUGUAAUUUCGUACUUAAUUGCAAGUCAUACUCUAAAUAUUCUCUUUAUUUGGA
Vigna angularis (adzuki bean) is the source of this 436-nucleotide long non-coding RNA. RefSeq lists it as uncharacterized. Lineage: Eukaryota; Viridiplantae; Streptophyta; Magnoliopsida; Fabales; Fabaceae. The record is from RefSeq and is a predicted model, not a curated record. The transcript has 3 exons.